RNAcentral lists this ribosomal RNA (234 nucleotides) under uncultured Lactobacillus sp. Its description in RNAcentral is "partial 16S ribosomal RNA". It matches the Rfam family "Bacterial small subunit ribosomal RNA", at positions 128 to 354 of the family's 1533-position model. Lineage: Bacteria; Bacillati; Bacillota; Bacilli; Lactobacillales; Lactobacillaceae. The record is from RNAcentral.
GCCCAAGAGAUCGGGAUAACACCUGGAAACAGAUGCUAAUACCGGAUAACAACAGAUGAUGCCUAUCAACUGUUUAAAAGAUGGUUCUGCUAUCACUCUUGGAUGGACCUGCGGUGCAUUAGCUAGUUGGUAGGGUAACGGCCUACCAAGGCGAUGAUGCAUAGCCGAGUUGAGAGACUGAUCGGCCACAUUAGGACUGAGACACGGCCCAAACUCCUACGGGAGGCAGCAGAG